Oncorhynchus keta (chum salmon) is the source of this 621-nucleotide long non-coding RNA. RefSeq lists it as uncharacterized. NCBI's taxonomy places the organism in Eukaryota, Metazoa, Chordata, Actinopteri, Salmoniformes, Salmonidae. The transcript is spliced from 3 exons. The record is from RefSeq and is a predicted model, not a curated record.
UCACAAAAAUUGUACCUAUCAUUCUCAUUGAAAGAUCAAGUCUAAGAAGCGGUAUAUCUGUUCUAUGUGCUCUAUUUCAAUGCUUUCCGUGUUUAAGAUUUGUUUUUGUGCCUUUUACUUUUGGUUUUGUACACCAACUUCAAACAGCUGAAAAUACAAUAUUUUGGGUUAUGGAAAAUAUAUUUCAGAGGUUUAGACGGUACAAUGAUUCUCUACACUAUACUUGCUUGUUUUGUCACAUAAACUGAAAUUAGACAAACUAUUAGAGUUUUAGCAACCAGGAACCAUAGAGCAUCUUUAACUGAAUUUAUGUCCCAUUCACUUAACCCUGAAAUAUAAUCCCAAACAUGUUUUUGUUUUAGUCUAACUCACAGUGAUAUCCAUCCCACUGACAUGAAUAAGCUAUGUAGAAGACUGGUACAGUGUCCCAGCCUACUUGAGCUAGAUUUCUCCCAUGGAUCCCUGAAAGACGACGCUAUUGAAAAUCUAUUGAAGAUCCUGCCAAAGAUUAAAUCUCUUCAGCUGCUUAAUAUAAGCCAUGUCCAGAUGUCUACGGAUGGAGCAUUGUUAUUGGUCAGAUCUCUGAUAGACUGCCAUCGUGUCAGAGCUGUGGAACUCCGG